AUUCCUAAGUCAAGUCUUUGCUGUUACCGUCAAUAACUGCUAACUCAGAGGAUGCAACCUUAGUAAUUCAUUUCCUUAAUGGCCAGUUUCACAAAGAGCCUGCAGGAAGCUGCUUCCAGCAGGCUGAGUCCUGAGGAGGAGACGAUAACAGUGGGAGAAGCACCUGGUAACAGUGGCACUUCAUCCAGGAAGAAAACAGGAUCUAAAAUACAAACAACAUCCUUACAACACAAAAUAUGAGCCUCUAUCAUGGACCAACUAAUAACUUCAAUAAAAGUGUGAUAAAUGCUGUAUCCCUGGCAGACGAUAAGUAUCUUCAAGAUGGUG
Rhinopithecus roxellana (golden snub-nosed monkey) is the source of this 327-nucleotide long non-coding RNA. RefSeq lists it as uncharacterized. The record is from RefSeq and is a predicted model, not a curated record. The transcript is spliced from 3 exons. Lineage: Eukaryota; Metazoa; Chordata; Mammalia; Primates; Cercopithecidae.